UAACUUACUUACAUAAAUCACACACAUUCCGUCACGUGUUCCGGGGUGCCCUACUUAGAUAGGGUCGGAGACAUGGGGGAUGUGGAGGCCUAAC
Molecule: small RNA, 94 nt
Filed under: Vibrio palustris
Lineage: Bacteria; Pseudomonadati; Pseudomonadota; Gammaproteobacteria; Vibrionales; Vibrionaceae
Description: t44 RNA
Rfam family: t44 RNA
About the family: This family consists of a number of bacterial RNA genes of between 135 and 170 bases in length. The t44 gene is found between the map and rpsB genes in all species in the full alignment apart from Shigella flexneri. The function of this RNA is unknown.
Source: Rfam by way of RNAcentral